Molecule: long non-coding RNA, 722 nt
Organism: Panicum virgatum (switchgrass)
Lineage: Eukaryota; Viridiplantae; Streptophyta; Magnoliopsida; Poales; Poaceae
Exons: 2
Source: RefSeq, a predicted model, not a curated record
AACGACUCGCUCGCGCGCUCCCUCCCAUCUACUCCCCCUAGCAAUAAUCACCCAGAUGCUUUGAGUUUUCCAUGACUGUCCAGUUCUCAUAGAUUUCGGCGGCCCUGAUCAUCGGGUGUGCUUAUGUUUUGGGCUAGAUCCAUUAUUUACUAACUCAUGUUCUCACGCUUUUGCUGUAUGUGGGCAUCGAGAGGGUUGAACGCAAUUUUUGUGAUUCCGUGCCUUGUCGCACGCUUUUACACACUAAUUGUAGUAGUGUUUUGUUUCCAUGCCUUUAUGUGAUAAACCUUAAUGAUCAAUUCUGUCGGUGCUGGACUGCUGGUGCUUGGCGUGAUUGCCAUUUCAAAAGCAGCAAGGGGCCGCGUUGCAACCAAAUGCUACUGUUACAUACCUUAUUGCUCAGCACAUUGGUGAUUAAUAAUCUACAAUUCAUAUAUUAUUGUUAGCUUACAACAGUACAAUUUUUUUUUCGUGAACACUCAGGAGAGUUGCGUAUCAUUGUAUUAAUAGUAGAGAAAGGAGUCAUACUCAUACGGAGACCCAAACACACCCACUAAACAUACCCACAAUAUGAAAAAAAAAGAUAAAUACAGCAAAGCAUAACAAAGAAAUUUAAGAUAAUGCUUUUAGAGAUGUCUGAGUUGUGCUAAACGUAGUAUGCAUUCUACUCCAAGGUGCCAUAGAUGUGAAUAGCAGUAGCCCAAAUUGAAGAGAAAAAAAAA